Molecule: ribosomal RNA, 119 nt
Organism: Myotis lucifugus (little brown bat)
Lineage: Eukaryota; Metazoa; Chordata; Mammalia; Chiroptera; Vespertilionidae
Source: Ensembl
AUCUAUGGCCAUACUACUCUGACCACACCUGAUCUCAUCUCACCUUCGAAGCUAAGUAGGGUUGUGCCUGGUUAGUACUUGGAUGGGAGACCUCCUGGGAAUACUGGGUGAUGUAGGCU